This 59-nucleotide ribosomal RNA is filed under the name Gnomoniopsis idaeicola. RNAcentral describes it as "partial 28S ribosomal RNA". It matches the Rfam family "Eukaryotic large subunit ribosomal RNA", at positions 1 to 57 of the family's 3401-position model. The record is from RNAcentral. Lineage: Eukaryota; Fungi; Ascomycota; Sordariomycetes; Diaporthales; Gnomoniaceae.
AUUGACCUCGGAUCAGGUAGGAAUACCCGCUGAACUUAAGCAUAUCAAUAAGCGGAGGA